Molecule: long non-coding RNA, 2874 nt
Organism: Cavia porcellus (domestic guinea pig)
Lineage: Eukaryota; Metazoa; Chordata; Mammalia; Rodentia; Caviidae
Exons: 2
Source: RefSeq, a predicted model, not a curated record
AUGUGUUCCCCUUAAAGCGCCCCAACUGGAACCCAAACACUCCUGACAGUAGGCAGCAUUUGUCCAUCUAUCGCCAGACUCUAAUGGCGGGUCUCCAGGCGGCUGCGAGGUGCCCUACCAAUUUGGCCAAGGCUCAUCGCUCUCGAGCGAAUACAAAAGAUCCUUUGGAGGCAACUGUCCACGGCCUACGCCCCCAUCAACUCGCCAACCCCUCACCCUUAUCAAGUGGGUAACUUCGUGCUGGUCCGCCGCCACCAAGUUGAAACCCUGCAGCCUCGCUGGAAAGGACCUUAUCAAGUGCUGCUGACUGCCCCCACCGCGGUUAAGGUCGAUGGCAUCGCUCCCUGGAUACAUGCGUCGCACCUGAAGCCUGCCUCCCCGCCUCAGGAUAACAACUGGACCUUAGAACGAACUGGUAACUCCCUCAAAAUUCGAUUUCGAAGGACAACACCUGUCUAAGGAGCCAAGAUACCCUCAUGUUACUCUGUUACCCAGAUGGCUUCGCUGUCAUCAUUGUCUCUGUUACCCUUGUGCUGGCCAUAGGAUUGUGGGUCACAUUUCCCUCAGACCUAGGCCAUCUUGCAAAAAUUAGUCUCCUCUCCCUAUUCUUUGGCAUAGUAACCCUGUUCUCUUACCUAAACUGCCUGGUGGUGCCAGUGGAAAUUAGGCUUCUUGAAUAGAACCUCUCAUGAUGCCCCAGAUACUUGCCCUGCUCAGCUCCGUUGCCAUUGCUGUGAUCCUGCUAUUCCCCCCAUGCAAUGGCAACCCACAUGCAUCGCUGACAUGGAGGGUCUACCAGAGCCAUGACAAAAAUUACUCUGGGACCAAGCUAUUAGCUCAAUGGAAACAGGAAAGCCCACUUUUGAAAUAAGUCUGUGCUCGGCAAUCCCUGACACUAGCUGCGAGGGUGAUUUCCAUGUAUAUCUCUGCCCCCUCGAGGGAACUCCUACCUAUUGUAGGUCCCCCUCUGAGUUCUGGUGCCCCUACUGGGAUUGUGUAACCCUGGCCUCUGGAUGGAUGCCCCCCUUGAUAGACCAUCACUUGUCCAUUCAGAGGGCUUGGAAAAAGAGGAAAGCUUGAUACUCUAAUUAUAACAGUUUUAGCCCCCAAUGACCCCCACUGGGGCCAGAUGCAGGCUUGGGGCAUCCAGGCCUAUUUAUCAGGUACUGACCCAGGUAAUGUCCUCUUCAUAUCUAAAGGUCCCGUCUGGACCCUACCAUCAGAAACUGACCUGGGUGAACCCAUCAUCCUACCUACACCUAGGCCUUCCCCUCAGGGAGACAGGACACUCCCAAAGGUAGAAACUACACUCAAAGAUAGCACCAUUGUUACACUUAAAACCCAAAAACAAAGGCCAAAAUCACCCCUUACCCCUCAGAGCCCUUCCCCUCUCCCGGUUACUAUGAAACCCCAUCGCCCCUCUCUAGGUGAUAACUUACUCAAGCUGGUCCAAGGAGCAUAUAUUGCCUUAAAUCAUACCCAGCCUAACCUCACACGAUCAUGUUGGCUAUGCUUAAGUUCCAUGUCCCCAUACUAUGAGGGAAUUGCAGUUAAUGAGGCCUUUAUAAGAACAACAGACCAAAGCAAAUGCUCCUGGGGAAAAAACUACUCUAUUAACCUUUUAGAGGUUUCAGGAAGUGGGACAUGUCUCGGAAAACCCUCAAACCGCCAACUAAAAUUCAGAGAGUUUGUAAGACUUCACGUUCUUCCUUUAGUCCAAACCAAUAUCUUAUCCCAGCCCCGGAAACUGGGCAUGCAAGUCGGGAUUCACAUCCUGCAUAGCUGCUGACGCCUUUGACUCCAAUCAUGAUCUUUGUGUGAUGGUAAAGAUUUUUCCCCAUAUCUCAUAUAGACCUGGCCCCUUCUGGACCCACUGCCUGGCCAAAGAACUAAACGAGACCCAAUGACUGUGACCCUAGCUGUACUUUUGGGGAUGGGGGUUACAGCAGGGGUAGGAACAGGAACUGCUGCAUUGAUUAAGGGGCAACAACACUUCCAUCAGUUGCGAGCCUCAAUAAAUGAAGACUUAAAACAAAUAGAGGCUUCUAUAACAGCCUUGCAAACCUUUUUAACCUCCUUAUCUGAGGUGGUCCUACAAAACAGGAGGGGACUAGACCUACUCCUCCUAAAGGAGGGUGGCCUAUGUGCCGCUCUAAAAGAAGAGUACUGUUUUUACGUUGAGCAUUCAGGCAUAGUAAAAGACGCCAUGCCCAAAGUCAGAGAAAAUAUCAAAACUAGAGAAAAAGAAUACUCUUUGGAGACAUCCUUCCCUUCCCUAUGGCAAGGGCUAGCUCCUUAUGUUAUUCCCCUCUUAGGCCCUUUAGCUGCUUUGCUCCUACUCUUUACCUUUGGCCCUUGCGUUCUAAACAAGAUCACACAUCUGGUGCGAUCACAGGUCUCCCAGGUAAAGAUGAUGGUCUUGAGAUACCAAUAUGACCCAAUACCUACUAAUAAUCUCUAGGAUUAGAGAUCCUCACAAAAAAAGGGGGGAAUGAAGAGUAAAAACAUUCAGGAAACCCCUCUUGCCUUGUCACACGGUCAGAACAACUAGAUGUUCUGGCCUGAUAGGGAAGUUGUGGUCCAACAUCCCCAAAAAUAAGAGCACCGUGAACUAUCCACCCUGCCAGACAGGAUAUGAGUUUUCAAAAACAUCAAGCCACCUGCAGCAGAUAGCUCACCCACCAGUAAGCAAAUGAUACAACCCCUAUUAACCACUGCCAUCUGCUUCUGUAACCGAUGCUUGCUUUGCGGCUUUUGGCUUUAUAUACUCUGCACUUCCCUACCCGGACACUCUUUCACUCCCCUCUCCCCACCGGAGUGUGGUCAGAGGGUCCCUCGCAUGCACGGACAAUAAAACCCCUUGAUUUUUCAUGA